Molecule: ribosomal RNA, 230 nt
Filed under: uncultured bacterium
Lineage: Bacteria
Description: partial 16S ribosomal RNA
Rfam family: Bacterial small subunit ribosomal RNA
Source: RNAcentral
UACGAGGGGGGCGAGCGUUGUUCGGAAUUAUUGGGCGUAAAGGGUGCGUAGGCGGCCUGACAAGUCUGAUGUGAAAUCCCUGGGCUCAACCCAGGGCCUGCAUCGGAAACUGUCGGGCUUGAGUAUGGGAGAGGUGAGUGGAAUUCCGGUGUAGCGGUGAAAUGCGUAGAUAUCGGAAGGAACACCUGUGGCGAAAGCGGCUCACUGGACCAUUACUGACGCUGAGGCAC